CUGGUUUAUAUCUAAGUAAGAUGUUAUCUUGUGUGUAGUGUGAGCGCUGAUAACCUUCGGCACAGCUACCCUGGAGAACACUCAGACCUGAGUAAUUUGUAGGCUGCACCAGCUGAGUCACAGCCACAGCCUCACAGAGGAAGAGGACCCUGCUGACAAAAGUCACUAUUUUUGGGCCAAAAGGAUGGUGUUGCUGCACAGGACUCAUGAGAGGAUCUCGAUCUCCCCCUGAGCAUGCAGCACAGAGCAGGGAACGCUGCCUCUGGCAUCAGCAGGAGCUGAUAAAGUCAAGGAAAAAUUAUUCUAACAGGACAGAUAUCAAGACAGGAUAAAAACAUGGACAUUCUCUCCUUUCAGCAGCAGUGAUGUUGUUCAAGAUGCACUUUUAACCUUGGAACAUAAUCAGCUUUAGCUGCUACUUGACCAUGCUGUAAGUCAGUGUUAAUAAAAAUAUACUAUAAAUAAUUAACA
This 471-nucleotide long non-coding RNA is filed under the name Cyanistes caeruleus (blue tit). RNAcentral describes it as "lncRNA (ENSCCEG00000012861.1)". Lineage: Eukaryota; Metazoa; Chordata; Aves; Passeriformes; Paridae. The record is from RNAcentral.